GCAUUUAUAGGGGGGUGCGCGGAUUAGGUAGAUUAAAUAGAUUUAGUAGGUUUCUAGUGAAUCUAUUUUUAUUAGUGCGUGGAUAUUUUGUUUUAAUAUCUUUUAAUAAUUUACUUUUUUCGUAAGAUAUAUUCAUUAAUUAUUUUAUCCUGUAGUAAUUACAGAGUUACAAAUUCUUGUAUAAUAAUUUAUCCUAUCUGUACUAUAAUAUAUAUCUAAUUCUAGAUUUUCAAUGUUAUUUAUUAUCUUGUGUUGUUCUUCUCGUAGUGAGUUUUUUAAAUUAUAUAAACUAUCACAUGUAUUUUUAUCUAAAUUUUCUAAGGUUUUUUCUAUCCAUGCUAAUUUUUCUUUUAGGUCUUCUAUUAUUUUUCUAAUUCGGUUUCUAUAACUAAUUUCAUUAUUUAGAUUUUCUUGAUUUUCUCUAGUUUGUCUAAUAUAUUCUAACAUGUUUUUAGUCUGAAUAAUAUUCUUCUGGGUAAAUUUCUUCGUAUAACUGUUCUAGAUAAUUGGUAGUUUCAUUUUCAUAGUUUAUUAUUUCUUCUAAUAUUAUUUUCUUAAUAUCCAUAAUUUCUAUAUUUUUAAGUAUAUAUAAUAUUAAAACUUUAAGAUAAUCUAAAUGAUCUAUUUUUUAAAAUUGGUUUUAUAAUAUUUUGUAGUUGUUUGUUCUAGCCUUAGUAGUUUUUGCAUAUUUUUAUUAAGAAAUUUUAUAUCUUU
This 714-nucleotide long non-coding RNA is filed under the name Capsicum annuum. RNAcentral's name for it is "long non-coding RNA (CANN_LNC022059)". The record is from RNAcentral. Lineage: Eukaryota; Viridiplantae; Streptophyta; Magnoliopsida; Solanales; Solanaceae.